GGGUCUGCAGUUCACCCAGGCAUCGCCGUUCUCCGGAACACGCUAAACCUGACA
Regulatory RNA element from Rhizobium etli CFN 42, 54 nucleotides. It matches the Rfam family "COG3860 RNA". The record is from Rfam. NCBI's taxonomy places the organism in Bacteria, Pseudomonadati, Pseudomonadota, Alphaproteobacteria, Hyphomicrobiales, Rhizobiaceae.